RNAcentral lists this ribosomal RNA (232 nucleotides) under uncultured bacterium. RNAcentral describes it as "partial 16S ribosomal RNA". It matches the Rfam family "Bacterial small subunit ribosomal RNA", at positions 118 to 347 of the family's 1533-position model. The record is from RNAcentral.
UGAGCAAUCUGCCCUUCUCAUCGGAAUAAGCGUUGGAAACGACGUCUAAUGCCGAAUACGACCUCCUUUCGCAUGAUCGGAGGUGGAAAGCUCCGGCGGAGAAGGAUGAGCUCGCGACCUAUCAGCUAGUUGGUGUGGGUAAUGGCCCACCAAGGCGACGACGGGUAGCCGGCCUGAGAGGGUGACCGGCCACACUGGGACUGAGACACGGCCCAGACUCCUACGGGAGCAG